GGAAACCCCGUCUUUCACCAAAACUCAUUCUUUCACCCCACAAAAUGCUCCCCGCCGACCAAAAGAAAUCCUUGAAGAUUUCACUGCCGACUAUGCUUUCCGUCUCUGACAAUUUCGUUCUAUUAAACCACGAAUAAGCACAAGCUUUUCAGCUCAACUAUUACCCUUGCAUAAACCCUUAUCUCCUACCCUUUUUGCCGCCGCGGUCAUAAAUCUCUCCGGCUGGCGUCGUUCAACCGUUCCAGCAAAAGGCCUAUGUCUUCAAACCUUAUAUCUUACCCAAUCUGCGAGUGAAGAUUGUUAUUUUUAUCACAUCCUCUGCACAUUUGUUUAUCGGUAUGUGUUUUGGGUUUUUUUAUAAUCGUAAUGUUCUUCGGAGAAAUUAGAAAUACAGAGAUAUAUAGUUACCCAAUAAAUUCAUUAAUUUUAAGGAAUAAGAAAAAACACCAUCUUGGAGACGUUGAGAGAAAAAAAAUGUGAAAACUGGGUAAUAAAGUGCAGUUUAAUUACACACACAAAUCAUUACAGCAAGUUGUAAAUUAGUUUGAAGUCCAGUGUAUUCACUAUAUGUAAUUAAACUGGACUGUAAUUACACACAAUUCAGAUUUCAAAAAUCAUAUAUAGGAGUGGGCAAAAACCCGCCCAACCCGAUUAAACCGCCCGACCCAACCCAAACUGACCGGGUUGGGUCGGGAUUUUUUUUUUGUCCAUGGGUUACCUAAUCGGGUUGGGUUGUGGGUUGACUAGGAAAACCGCCCAACCUGACCCACCAACAUUUAAAAAAAAAAAAGAAAGAAAGAAAGAAACAGUAAAACACCACUUAAAAGUCCUAAAUGAGUAAGUUUCUCACUCACUACAAAAAAUCCCUAAAUUCUCUCGUUCCCUCUCUCUUGCUCCCGCUCAAAUUGUCGACAACAGCACCCUUUUUUUCGACUGCCCCAAGCCGGUCACUGAACGUCCAACUCUAGGAAAUCCACAAGAUGGGUAUAUUAUUUCACUCUUCAUUUUUCAGGUUUUGUAAGUCACAAUUUGAUGAAUUUUUUCCCAUCUUUUGAAGAGUACUAUGAUUCAGUGGUGAAAUCUUCUUAUUUGGCUUUGUUUGGUGAAAAUGUAUUCUCAGUUUUUGGGUUCAAGGCUAUGCCAGGGACUCGCAAACAAAGGAAGUCGAGUAAGGGCUUAAGGUUGCUUCUUCUGGUAAUGUGAGUCAUGUAUUUCUUAGUUUUUUUUUUUUUUUUUUAACAUUCACUUAAUUAUAUAUUUUGAUUUUUGUUGUUGCAUUUGAAAGAUAAUAUUGGG
RNAcentral lists this long non-coding RNA (1296 nucleotides) under Olea europaea subsp. europaea. The record is from RNAcentral. Lineage: Eukaryota; Viridiplantae; Streptophyta; Magnoliopsida; Lamiales; Oleaceae.